UGGGGAAUAUUGCGCAAUGGGGGAAACCCUGACGCAGCGACGCCGUGUGAGGGAAGAAGGCUUUCGGGUCGUAAACCUCUGUCAGGAAGGAAGAACCUCUCAAGGCUGAACAAGCCUUGGGACUGACGGUACUUCCAGAGGAAGCACCGGCUAACUCCGUGCCAGCAGCCGCGGUAAUACGGAGGGUGCAAGCGUUAAUCGGAAUCACUGGGCGUAAAGCGCGCGUAGGCCGUCUUUUAAGUCGGACGUGAAAGCCCUCGGCUCAACCGGGGAACUGCGUUCGAUACUGGGAGACUUGAGUCCUGGAGAGGGUGGCGGAAUUCCUGGUGUAGGAGUGAAAUCCGUAGAUAUCCGGAGGAACACCGGUGGCGAAGGCGGCCACCUGGACAGGUACUGACGCUGAGGCGCGAAAGCGUGGGG
RNAcentral lists this ribosomal RNA (420 nucleotides) under uncultured bacterium. RNAcentral describes it as "bacterial SSU rRNA". It matches the Rfam family "Bacterial small subunit ribosomal RNA", at positions 355 to 766 of the family's 1533-position model. The record is from RNAcentral.